CGGUUGAUCCUGCCGGACCUCACUGCUAUCGGGGUGGGACUAAGACAUGCAAGUCGUACGCCUCCCAGCCGCCGGGGGAGGCGUGGCGCACGGCUCCGUAACACGUGGCUAACCUGCCCUUGGGACGGGGAUAACCCCGGGAAACUGGGGCUAAUCCCCGAUAGGCGAGGAUGCCUGGAAUGGUUCCUCGCCGAAAGGGCGCCGGAACCGUGCUUCCGGUGUCGCCCAAGGAUGGGGCCGCGGCCGAUCAGGUUGUUGGUGGGGUAACGGCCCACCAAGCCGAUAACCGGUACGGGCCGUGAGAGCGGGAGCCCGGAGAUGGGCACUGAGAUAAGGGCCCAGGCCCUACGGGGCGCAGCAGUCGCGAAACCUCCGCAAUGCGCGAAAGCGCGACGGGGCCACCCCGAGUGCCGCCCGCUGAGGGCGGCUUU
Molecule: ribosomal RNA, 431 nt
Filed under: uncultured archaeon
Lineage: Archaea
Description: bacterial SSU rRNA
Rfam family: Archaeal small subunit ribosomal RNA
Source: RNAcentral